Molecule: long non-coding RNA, 348 nt
Organism: Grus americana (Whooping crane)
Lineage: Eukaryota; Metazoa; Chordata; Aves; Gruiformes; Gruidae
Exons: 3
Source: RefSeq, a predicted model, not a curated record
AGCAGCCCUCUGUCACAUGCCGGGGAGCUUUGGAAGGGUCCCUCUGAAACUUGUUGGGAUUGAUUUUGCUGCCUGUGCUGGGUUAUUACUGCCAAACCCUGGACAACCGCUCCCAAGGAACACAUCCGUCCGGUGGAGUUCAAUCUUUGGAGACUUAAAGUGCUCACUCAAAUGCACUGAACAAGAGGAAUGCUUCAGCUCCAAUCAGCUCCUGUCUUCUUUGGAAACGCUGGCCUUGAGGCUCUACCUAAUGAUUGCAACCUGUGAUCCCAGUUCGUGCUGCAUAAAUGACUAAAGAAGCUCGUGGAUCUCAGUUUUUCCAUGAUUUGGACAAAGCAAAUAAAUAAG